ACGGAAGGCAGCAGUGGGGAAUAUUGGGCAAUGGGCGAAAGCCUGACCCAGCAACGCCGCGUGAAGGAAGAAGGUCUUCGGAUUGUAAACUUCUUUUAUGGGGGACGAACAAAUGACGGUACCUCAUGAAUAAGCCACGGCUAACUACGUGCCAGCAGCCGCGGUAAUACGUAGGUGGCAAGCGUUAUCCGGAUUUACUGGGUGUAAAGGGCGCGUAGGCGGGAAGGCAAGUCAGAUGUGAAAGCACGAGGCUCAACUUCGUGUCUGCAUUUGAAACUGCUGUUCUUGAGUGCUGGAGAGGCUAACGGAACUCCUAGUGUAGCGGUGAAAUGCGUAGAUAUUAGGAAGAACACCAGUGGCGAAGGCGGUUAGCUGGACAGUAGCUGACGCUGAGGCGCGAAAGCGUGGGUAGCAAACAGGAUUAGAUACCCUGGUA
Molecule: ribosomal RNA, 436 nt
Rfam family: Bacterial small subunit ribosomal RNA